RNAcentral lists this ribosomal RNA (492 nucleotides) under uncultured bacterium. RNAcentral describes it as "partial 16S ribosomal RNA". It matches the Rfam family "Bacterial small subunit ribosomal RNA", at positions 29 to 507 of the family's 1533-position model. The record is from RNAcentral.
AGUGAACGCUGGCGGUAGGCCUAACACAUGCAAGUCGAACGGCAGCACAGUAAGAGCUUGCUCUUACGGGUGGCGAGUGGCGGACGGGUGAGGAAUACAUCGGAAUCUACUUUUUCGUGGGGGAUAACGUAGGGAAACUUACGCUAAUACCGCAUACGACCUACGGGUGAAAGCAGGGGAUCUUCGGACCUUGCGCGAUUGAAUGAGCCGAUGUCGGAUUAGCUAGUUGGCGGGGUAAAGGCCCACCAAGGCGACGAUCCGUAGCUGGUCUGAGAGGAGGAUAGGCCACACGGGAGCGUGAAAGCGGUCCAGGCGCCUGCGAGAGGCCGCAGUGGGGAAUAUUGGGCAGUGGGCGCGAGCCUGAUACAGCGAUCCCGCGUGGGUGAAGAAGGCGUCCGGGUUGUAAAGACCUUUUGUGGGGAAAGAAAAGCAGCAGGUUAAUACCCAGCUGUUCUGACGGUAACCAAAGAAUAAGCACCGGCUAACUUCGUG